UCAGCUUGUAUUAAGAUGCCUGAUAG
This 26-nucleotide small RNA is filed under the name Bombyx mori (domestic silkworm). Its description in RNAcentral is "ovarian small RNA-25734". Lineage: Eukaryota; Metazoa; Arthropoda; Insecta; Lepidoptera; Bombycidae. The record is from RNAcentral.